Molecule: ribosomal RNA, 411 nt
Filed under: Triticum aestivum (bread wheat)
Lineage: Eukaryota; Viridiplantae; Streptophyta; Magnoliopsida; Poales; Poaceae
Description: partial small subunit ribosomal RNA
Source: RNAcentral
AUGGCAGAGUCCGACCAAGCUGUAACAGCUUUCAUAACGCCAUACGGCCCUUUUUGCUUCAACACUAUGCCUUUCAGGCUUAAGAAUGCCGGAGCAACCUAUCAACGCAUGAUUCAAACAUGCCUGGAAAAGCAAAUCGGCAAAACAGUGGAGGCAUAUGUGGACGACGUAGUCGCUAAAACAAGACACGUCGAAACCCUAAUUGAUGACUUGAGGCUUACGUUCAUCAACUUACGAACAUACGACAUCAAGCUGAAUCCGGAGAAAUGCGUUUUCGGCAUCCCCUCUGGAAAGCUGCUGGGCUUCAUCGUUUCCAAUAGAGGAAUUGAAGCUAAUCCGGCAAAAAUCCGAGCUUUGUCACAGUUGGCUAUACCAACAGACCUCAAACACAUCCAGAAAUUAGCUGGAUGA